CAUAAAUAGUUAUUAGUCCCCUACCGGUUUAACCGGAGGGGACUUUAGGUUUACCCUCCGUCCGUCUGUCCGUCUGUCUGUCUGUCCGUCUGUCUGUCCGUCUGUCUGUCUGUCUGUCAGUCCGUCAGUCCGUCCGUCCACAAAACUGGAUCCCGCGAUAACGCAAAAAGUACUGAAAAUAUUUUUAUGAAACUUGAUAUAUGGAUAGAUGGCAGUAUGGAGAUUAUGCACGUCUUUUUUUUUUCUUCCUAUGUUGAAAAUUCUGGUUGCUAUGGCAACAAAUAGUCUGAAAAUAUGGCAAAUUUAACACAUAAACUGGAUCCAGUGAUAACUCAAAAAGUACUGAAAAUAUUUUUAUGAAACUUGAAAUAUGGGUAGAUGGCAGUCUGGAGAUUAUGCACAUCUUUUUCUUUUCUUCCUAUGUUGAAAAUUCUGGUUGCUAUGGCAACAAAUAGUCUGAAUUUCAAGAUUUCUGAUUUAAAUUUUUCAGCUUUUUCACUAUAUGUUCUUUAUUUCUUAAGGUGUUUACUUCAAACUUUAAAUAUAAGUUUCUGGUCAUCAACCACAUCAUAUGUGACAAGGUUUAUAACUCUAGCACAAAAAAUAUCAGUAUUACCUCCCUUGAACUUAGAUUUUUUAGGGGAAAAAAUGUUGUCUUUUUAGCUCGACUUUUCUAUGAAAAGGGGAGCUAUCCUACUCGCCCCGGCGUCGGCGUCGGCGUUAGCGUCGGCGUUGGCGUCACACCUUGGUUAAGUUUUUCGUACCACCCCACUUUAUUUCAGAAGUAUUACAAGUAUGGCUUUGAAACUUACCAUACUUGUUCACCAUCAUAACCUCCAUCUACAGACAAGAGUACAUAACUCUGUCAAGGUUUUUGACAGAAUUAUGGCCCUUUUUUGACUUAGAAAGUGUAUUGAGCUUGGUUAAGUUUUUUGUACCACCUCACUUUAUUUCAAAACCAUUGGAGGUAUUGCUUUGAAACUGACCAUACUUGUUUACCAUCACGACCUUCAUCAACAGACAAGAGGACAUAACUCUGUCAAGGUUUUUGACAGAAUUAUGCCCCUUUUUGACUUAGAAAAUACAUUGAAUAUGGGUAAAAUCCACUUAUUGCCUUAACCCUUUGAGAUAUUGCUUUGAAACUUUUAAUGCUAUUUCACAUCAUUACCCCCAUCUGUACGCAAGAGAAGGUAACUCUGUCAAGGAUUUGUUUUAAAAAUUAAGGCCUUUUAUCGACUUAGAAUCUUGGUUAAGUUUUUAGUACCAGUCCACUUUUUGACUGAACUGUUUGAGAUAUCAAUUUGAAAGUUGGAAUACUUGUUUACAAUCAUGAUUCCCAAACAUGUCCAGGAGAAGGUAAUUCUGUCAAAGAUUUUAUUUGAAUUAUGGCCCUUAACUGUCAAUGUUUUGUAUUAUAGGCAAGCACUAAAAAACUCAACUCAGUUUUUUUUUCUUUCUUACCAGCCCUCUUUUGACUUAAACAUUUCAAACUUUGCUGCAGUGUUCAAGGGUAUCACACAAUUCAGUAAAAUAAUUCUUCACUAAAUAUCUUAAUGCUCAUGGCCAUUGUUCACUUUAAAAAUACAGAGAUUCUUGUAUUGCCUUUUACUGCAAAAACUUUUUUUAUUGGCAAGCAAUAAAAAAGUCGAGCGCGCUGUCUUACGGACAGCUCUUGUUUAAAUAACUUCUUUAUUUCCUAACGUAUCUACUUCAAACUUCAUAUAUAUGUUUCUUAUUAUCACUCGACAUUUUUGAGAAGGUUAAAUACUCUAGCAAGACUAUUUCCAGAAUUAUGUCCCCUUUGAACUUAGAUUUUUUUCGAGAAAUUGGUAUUUUCACUCCAACUUCUUCAUUCCUUAUAGGAUUUACUUUAAAAUCCCACAUCGUAAUAAUAUGACAAGGUUGUAUAAACAUAAUUUCCUUACUAAGCAUGGAAACUUAACACAUUACUGUGAUAUAGACAAACUUAUUUUAUUAUGUUUUGUGGUUGAUAUUUUCAAAUACAGACUUCAUCCUCAAAUUCAUUAUAAAUGGCAAUACACAGGAGUGUAUGACAAUUAAAGAACUUUUUGAGGGACCGGUAGGGGACUACUGUAUUGCCCGCAAUACUAUCAAAUGCUUGUUUAUUGUCCUUUUAAUAUAUAAUUAUGUACAAUUAAUGUGUAAAAUAUGUAUGCUUGAUACUUUCUUAUAAUUAAGAUAAAUAAAUACUGCAUCCACUAAGUUUUCACACACAGAAUAUAACACACUGAUCAGAUAAAACUAAUGGCACCCCAGGUGGUUCCCUCUUAUAAUCUAUGCAUGAUCAAUCUUCUCAUUGAGCAUUCUGGGAUAGACCAGAUUGUUCCAUGUGAUUAUUCAGGGGGAGUCUGGGUUUUUAUACAAUCCAAAACAGUCUAAAAUGACACUGCAACUGUGAUUCUCUUAUAAUUUUCAAGUUUUACUUUUAUUUAUCAUUUGAUAUGUUUGUACCUUCAAUAAAAUUAAUGUAAAAAUAAAAUGAUGAUGGCUUUGAUAUUUUGGGAUCACCCCUGUUUCACAUUAUGAUUGCCCCUUCAGUUAUACUGUUGAAAAAUUUGAAUCUCAGACAUUAAUGGGUCAAGUGGUUAUAGUUGGAAGUAGUGCAAACCUGGAUUUAUUUUAAGCAAUUUUGGACAUAUCUUGUUUUAAAUGUUAGGGAGCAUAUUUUGGAAUUUUUAAAGAAAACAUUUAUCUAAGUGUUACAAGAUUCAGGAAAUGUUUGGUUGUUGUAAUUGAACCUAAAGAUCAAUGACCUGGGACAGGAAGAUAAACAAAAGAAACAUGAUAGUAAAAAGGUUCAGAGUCAGCUUGUAAGCAAGUUUGCAAGACUGUUCCAAACUACAAGAAGAUGGCAAUCCAGCUUUGCUGUGUUUUAUCAUAGUAUAUCAUUGGCAUCCAGGCAUCGAUUAAGGAAGCCAACUGUAGACCAGGAAAGGCUUCAAGGAAUAUACUACAGAAUUGUAUCCUGGAGCAUUUUCCACAUGUGACCCCUGUGAUGGUGAGGGAAAAACUAAGGGACAUUUAAAAAUCAUGAAGAGUGAACAGGAAUUCAAAAGAUAGAUAUUUGAAUACAUUAAAAUUUAACCGGAUACCAAAAAAUUAUAACUGAACAUUGAGUGUAAUAUUUACCAUUAAAAACUUCUAACUUAACUUUUCAUUUGUAGUGCAUUACUAUUUACUUCACACUGACAUUAAAUGUUUAAGUGAGUCAUGUGAUCAUUUUUUGCUCUGUAUUAUUACAAAGAAGUUUCUUAAUUCCUUAAAAGGACAAUAUAAUUGCUCUUUUCAGAAUAUUUCAUUGGAUGUUAUAUUUUCUGAUUUUCCAUGGAUAUUCUAGAAAUUUCCAAGGUUUUUGCUCAAAUAAACUUUGGAAAAUUCUCUGAUGCCCUUAAGUAAGAAUCCUCGAAAAUAUAACAGUAUUCCCAGUUGUGAGAAACUUUCCGAGGUUUUCAUUUAAAAAACCUUGGAAAACAAACCACGGAAACACUUUAAAAAUCCUUGGAAAUCGUUCCAAUACUCCGAGGUCUUACUUUUUACGAGGUUUUUUUUAAAAAAAACUCGGAAAUUUUUUUCCAAGGUUUUUCACCCUCUCCCUAUUUUUCCAAGGUUUUUUUAUUAGCAAAGUUUUGCAUUUUCUUGUUCCAAUACUCCGAGGUUUUUUUCCAAGGAUUUUGAGCCAAAAACCUUGGAAAAUCUACACCCGG
Molecule: long non-coding RNA, 3725 nt
Organism: Ruditapes philippinarum (Manila clam)
Lineage: Eukaryota; Metazoa; Mollusca; Bivalvia; Venerida; Veneridae
Exons: 3
Source: RefSeq, a predicted model, not a curated record